UACGUAGGGUGCGAGCGUUAAUCGGAAUUACUGGGCGUAAAGCGUGCGCAGGCGGUUUGCUAAGACCGAUGUGAAAUCCCCGGGCUCAACCUGGGAACUGCAUUGGUGACUGGCAGGCUAGAGUAUGGCAGAGGGGGGUAGAAUUCCACGUGUAGCAGUGAAAUGCGUAGAGAUGUGGAGGAAUACCGAUGGCGAAGGCAGCCCCCCUGGGCCAAUACUGACGCUCAUGCACGAAAGCGUGGGGGAGCAAACAGGAUUAGAUACCCUGGUAGUCCACGCCCUAAACGAUGUCAACUAGUUGUUGGGGAUUCAUUUCCUUAGUAACGUAGCUAACGCGUGAAGUUGACCGCCUGGGGAGUACGGUCGCAAGAUUAAAACUCA
This 381-nucleotide ribosomal RNA is filed under the name uncultured bacterium. RNAcentral's name for it is "bacterial SSU rRNA". It matches the Rfam family "Bacterial small subunit ribosomal RNA", at positions 524 to 903 of the family's 1533-position model. The record is from RNAcentral.